AAGAAAUUAGUUUAAUUAAAACAUUAAUUUGUCAAAUUAAAAAUAUUUAUUAUAAAUAUUUCUUA
RNAcentral lists this transfer RNA (65 nucleotides) under Lygus hesperus (lygus bug). RNAcentral's name for it is "tRNA-Asp". RNAcentral also lists the same sequence under 3 other names. Lineage: Eukaryota; Metazoa; Arthropoda; Insecta; Hemiptera; Miridae. The record is from RNAcentral.